Molecule: ribosomal RNA, 402 nt
Filed under: bacterium
Lineage: Bacteria
Description: partial 16S ribosomal RNA
Rfam family: Bacterial small subunit ribosomal RNA
Source: RNAcentral
UGGGGAAUUUUGCACAAUGGGGGAAACCCUGAUGCAGCGACGCCGCGUGAUUUAGAAGGCCUUCGGGUUGUAAAAAUCUUUUCUAUGGGAAGAAAAUGACAGUACCAUAGGAAUAAGGACCGGCUAAUUACGUGCCAGCAGCCGCGGUAAUACGUAAGGUCCGAGCGUUGUCCGGAAUCAUUGGGCGUAAAGGGUACGUAGGCGGGUAAGCAAGUUAGAAGUGAAAUCCUAUAGCUCAACUAUAGUAAGCUUUUAAAACUGCUCAUCUUGAGGUAUGGAAGGGAAGGUGGAAUUCCUAGUGUAGCGGUGGAAUGCGCAGAUAUUAGGAGGAAUACCGGUGGCGAAGGCGACUUUCUGGCCAUAACCUGACGCUGAGGUACGAAAGCGUGGGUAGCAAACAGG